GACGGAGCAACGCCGCGUGAGUGAUGAAGGCUUUCGGGUCGUAAAACUCUGUUGUUAGGGAAGAACAAGUGCUAGUUGAAUAAGCUGGCACCUUGACGGUACCUAACCAGAAAGCCACGGCUAACUACGUGCCAGCAGCCGCGGUAAUACGUAGGUGGCAAGCGUUAUCCGGAAUUAUUGGGCGUAAAGCGCGCGCAGGUGGUUUCUUAAGUCUGAUGUGAAAGCCCACGGCUCAACCGUGGAGGGUCAUUGGAAACUGGGAGACUUGAGUGCAGAAGAGGAAAGUGGAAUUCCAUGUGUAGCGGUGAAAUGCGUAGAGAUAUGGAGGAACACCAGUGGCGAAGGCGACUUUCUGGUCUGUAACUGACACUGAGGCGCGAAAGCGUGGGGAGCAAACAGGAUUAGAUACCCUGGUAGUCCACGCCGUAAACGAUGAGUGCUAAGUGUUAGAGGGUUUCCGCCCUUUAGUGCUGAAGUUAACGCAUUAAGCACUCCGCCUGGGGAGUACGGCCGCAAGGCUGAAACUCAA
Molecule: ribosomal RNA, 529 nt
Filed under: Bacillus sp. UASWS0378
Lineage: Bacteria; Bacillati; Bacillota; Bacilli; Caryophanales; Bacillaceae
Also listed under: 1 other name
Description: bacterial SSU rRNA
Rfam family: Bacterial small subunit ribosomal RNA
Source: RNAcentral